AUUGAACGCUGGCGGCAGGCCUAACACAUGCAAGUCGAGCGGAUGAAGGGAGCUUGCUCCUGGAUUCAGCGGCGGACGGGUGAGUAAUGCCUAGGAAUCUGCCUGGCAUUUGGGGAUAACGUCCGGAAACGGGCGCUAAUACCGCAUCCGUCCUGAGGGUGAAAGUGGGGGAUCUUCGGACCUCACGCUAUCAGAUGAGCCUAGGUCGGAUUAGCUAGUUGGUGGGGUAAAGGCCUACCAAGGCGACGAUCCGUAACUGGUCUGAGAGGAUGAUCAGUCACACUGGAACUGAGACACGGUCCAGACUCCUACGGGAGGCAGCAGUGGGGAAUAUUGGACAAUGGGCGAAAGCCUGAUCCAGCCAUGCCGCGUGUGUGAAGAAGGUCUUCGGAUUGUAAAGCACUUUAAGUUGGGAGGAAGGGCAGUAAGUUAAUACCUUGCUGUUUUGACGUUACCAACAGAAUAAGCACCGGCUAACUUCGUG
This 484-nucleotide ribosomal RNA is filed under the name uncultured bacterium. RNAcentral's name for it is "partial 16S ribosomal RNA". It matches the Rfam family "Bacterial small subunit ribosomal RNA", at positions 30 to 507 of the family's 1533-position model. The record is from RNAcentral.